RNAcentral lists this ribosomal RNA (468 nucleotides) under uncultured bacterium. Its description in RNAcentral is "partial 16S ribosomal RNA". It matches the Rfam family "Bacterial small subunit ribosomal RNA", at positions 28 to 507 of the family's 1533-position model. The record is from RNAcentral.
GACGAACGCUGGCGGCGUGCUUAACACAUGCAAGUCGAACGGAAAGGCCCUGCUUUUGUGGGGUGCUCGAGUGGCGAACGGGUGAGUAACACGUGAGUAACCUGCCCUUGACUUGGGAAUACCUCCAGGAAACUGGGGUUAAUACCGGAUGGGAGCCCCGCCUGCAGGGUGGGGGUUGGAAAGUUUCGGCGGUUGGGGAUGGACUCGCGGCUUAUCAGCUUGUUGGUGGGGUAGUGGCUUACCAAGGCUUUGACGGGUAGCCGGCCUGAGAGGGUGACCGGCCACAUUGGGACUGAGAUACGGCCCAGACUCCUACGGGAGGCAGCAGUGGGGAAUAUUGCACAAUGGGCGGAAGCCUGAUGCAGCAACGCCGCGUGCGGGAUGACGGCCUUCGGGUUGUAAACCGCUUUCGCCUGUGACGAAGCGUGAGUGACGGUAAUGGGUAAAGAAGCACCGGCUAACUACGUG